Molecule: ribosomal RNA, 253 nt
Filed under: uncultured bacterium
Lineage: Bacteria
Description: partial 16S ribosomal RNA
Rfam family: Bacterial small subunit ribosomal RNA
Source: RNAcentral
UACGGGGGGGGCAAGCGUUGUUCGGAAUUACUGGGCGUAAAGGGCUCGUAGGCGGCCAACUAAGUCGGACGUGAAAUCCCCAGGCUCAACCUGGGAACUGCGUCUGAUACUGGAUGGCUUGAAUUCGGGAGAGGGAUGCAGAAUUCCAGGUGUAGCGGUGAAAUGCGUAGAUAUCUGGAGGAAUACCGGUGGCGAAGGCGGCAUCCUGGACCGACAUUGACGCUGAACGGCGAAAGCUAGGGGAGCAAACGGG